UACGGGGGGGGCAAGCGUUGUUCGGAAUUACUGGGCGUAAAGGGUUCGUAGGUGGCUGGCUAAGUCAGACGUGAAAUCCCUCAGCUUAACUGGGGAACUGCGUCCGAUACUGGAUGGCUUGAGUUUGGGAGAGGGAUGCGGAAUUCCAGGUGUAGCGGUGAAAUGCGUAGAUAUCUGGAGGAACACCGGUGGCGAAGGCGGCAUCCUGGACCAACACUGACACUGAGGAGCGAAAGCCAGGGGAGCAAACGGG
This 253-nucleotide ribosomal RNA is filed under the name uncultured bacterium. RNAcentral's name for it is "partial 16S ribosomal RNA". It matches the Rfam family "Bacterial small subunit ribosomal RNA", at positions 524 to 776 of the family's 1533-position model. The record is from RNAcentral.